RNAcentral lists this ribosomal RNA (253 nucleotides) under uncultured bacterium. Its description in RNAcentral is "partial 16S ribosomal RNA". It matches the Rfam family "Bacterial small subunit ribosomal RNA", at positions 524 to 776 of the family's 1533-position model. The record is from RNAcentral.
UACGUAGAGGGCAAGCGUUGUCCGGAUUUAUUGGGCGUAAAGAGCGUGUAGGCGGCCAUACAGGUCCGUUGUGAAAACUCGAGGCUUAACCUCGAGACGUCGAUGGAAACCGUAUGGCUAGAGUCCGGAAGAGGAGAGUGGAAUUCCUGGUGUAGCGGUGAAAUGCGCAGAUAUCAGGAGGAACACCGGUGGCGAAGGCGGUUCUCUGGGCCUGUACUGACGCUGAGGAACGAAAGCGUGGGGAGCGAACAGG